UACGUAGGUGGCGAGCGUUAUCCGGAAUUACUGGGCGUAAAGCGCGAGCAGGCGGCUUCUUAAGUUUGACGUAAAAUCUCCUGGCUUAACUGGGAGGGGUCGUUGAAGACUGGGAGGCUUGAGGCGAUGAGAGGGGUGUGGAAUUCCCGGUGUAGUGGUGGAAUGCGUAGAUAUCGGGAGGAACACCAGAGGCGAAAGCGGCACCCUGGCAUUGGCCUGACGCUGAGAUGCGAAAGCGUGGGGAGCGAACGGG
RNAcentral lists this ribosomal RNA (253 nucleotides) under uncultured Caldilinea sp. RNAcentral's name for it is "partial 16S ribosomal RNA". It matches the Rfam family "Bacterial small subunit ribosomal RNA", at positions 524 to 776 of the family's 1533-position model. Lineage: Bacteria; Bacillati; Chloroflexota; Caldilineae; Caldilineales; Caldilineaceae. The record is from RNAcentral.